GAAUGCACGAAAUCGUUUGUUGAAAAAUACAAAAUUCCUGGAGUUAUUGGAUGUAUUGAUGGCACGCACUUUGGGCUGCAAAAACCAACAGUAAAUGAGCACAUGUUCUUCAACAGGAAAGGAUACCAUAGCCUCAACUCAAUGAUAAUAUGUGACCAUGAAUAC
This is a long non-coding RNA of Bactrocera tryoni, 165 nucleotides long. RefSeq lists it as uncharacterized. Lineage: Eukaryota; Metazoa; Arthropoda; Insecta; Diptera; Tephritidae. The record is from RefSeq and is a predicted model, not a curated record. The transcript is spliced from 3 exons.